UACGUAGGGGGCGAGCGUUGUCCGGAAUCAUUGGGCGUAAAGCGCGUGUAGGCGGUCCGGUAAGUCCGCUGUGAAAGUCGGGGGCUCAACCCUCGGAUGCCGGUGGAUACUGUCGGGCUUGAGUACGGAAGAGGCGAGUGGAAUUCCUGGUGUAGCGGUGAAAUGCGCAGAUAUCUGGAGGAACACCGGUGGCGAAGGCGGCAUCCUGGACCGGCAUUGACGCUGAGGCGCGAAAGCUAGGGGAGCAAACGGG
RNAcentral lists this ribosomal RNA (253 nucleotides) under uncultured bacterium. RNAcentral's name for it is "partial 16S ribosomal RNA". It matches the Rfam family "Bacterial small subunit ribosomal RNA", at positions 524 to 776 of the family's 1533-position model. The record is from RNAcentral.